UGAUCAAAUCAAGUCCAAUGC
Molecule: non-coding RNA, 21 nt
Filed under: Caenorhabditis elegans
Lineage: Eukaryota; Metazoa; Nematoda; Chromadorea; Rhabditida; Rhabditidae
Source: RNAcentral